This 443-nucleotide ribosomal RNA is filed under the name uncultured bacterium. Its description in RNAcentral is "partial 16S ribosomal RNA". It matches the Rfam family "Bacterial small subunit ribosomal RNA", at positions 338 to 795 of the family's 1533-position model. The record is from RNAcentral.
CCUACGGGAGGCAGCAGUGAGGAAUAUUGGUCAAUGGGCGCGAGCCUGAACCAGCCAAGUCGCGUGAGGGAAGACGGUCCUAUGGAUUGUAAACUUCUUUUAAGGGGGAAGAGCAGAAGACGGUACCCCUUGAAUAAGCCACGGCUAACUACGUGCCAGCAGCCGCGGUAAUACGGCGGGUGCAAGCGUUGUCCGGAUUUACUGGGUUUAAAGGGCGUGCAGCCGGAGAGACAAGUCAGAUGUGAAAUCCACGGGCUCAACCCGUGAACUGGAUUUGAAACUGGUUCCCUUGAGUGUCGGAGAGGUAAUCGGAAUUCCUUGUGUAGCGGUGAAAUGCGUAGAUAUAAGGAGGAACACCAGUGGCGAAGGCGGUCUGCUGGACAGCAACUGACGGUGAGGCGCGAAAGCGUGGGGAGCAAACAGGAUUAGAUACCCGGGUAGUC